AUGGAAAAAAUGGAUAAGAGUGUGUUGCUUGUAAUGCUACUUUUGGUGAUAUAUUUUGUUGGUCAUGGUUAUGGCUCUAGACACACUCAAGUUUUCAAAGUGUAUCCUAAAACUAAGUCUUUGGAUUCAAAUAUCUUUGGUUUGUUGCCAAAAGGAAUGGUUCCACCUUCAGGGCCUUCUAAGAAGCAUAAUGAGAUUGGAUUACAAAGUUCAAUUGGAAAACCAUAG
This is a non-coding RNA of Vicia faba (fava bean), 228 nucleotides long. The record is from the annotation of a GenBank genome assembly. NCBI's taxonomy places the organism in Eukaryota, Viridiplantae, Streptophyta, Magnoliopsida, Fabales, Fabaceae.